Non-coding RNA from Paramormyrops kingsleyae, 2959 nucleotides. Lineage: Eukaryota; Metazoa; Chordata; Actinopteri; Osteoglossiformes; Mormyridae. The record is from RefSeq and is a predicted model, not a curated record.
CUUAAAGGGAAACAUCCGGAUAAAUAAUCAGAGUGCCGUAGGGGGAAGGAGGCUCUGAAGAUUAACUGUUACGCUUGCUGAAUUACGAUGAUAUUCCCUCUGGGCAAAAGCUCUGCUCAGAGCAUGCGGCUCCUGGAGAAUCUCUUCGGAUUCACGACAUGGGCGCGCAAAGAACUGCAGUCUGGGAUCAGCCCCUAACCCCCACCUCCUCAUGACCCUGAAUGGGAUAAGUGGUUACAGAAAAUGGAUGGGUCUUAAAUUUGGCCAAUCGAUUCGUCAAGGUGAUUCCCCCCAAUAGGCAACUUUCAGCGACAGCGCUCCCGCCUCCACCCUGAUCGAAUAAACACACGUACAGCGCAUCAUCAAUGCAGGAUGCUUUCUGCUAUGGAGACAGUAAAAGGGGACAAAAAUGUCAGACCUGAGAACAGAAGAACUGUGGAACGAGAGCUGAGUCUUCACCCUUUGUGGAAAUAGGCACUUUCAUCUCCAGACAGUGCUGGAGCGAAGCAGACAGUGUAUCCUCAACAUUUCAUGCUGGAAAAAAAGUUAUAUUCUGUUAAAAUAUCGAGCUCCUAUAAAAAUGUAUGAGUGGUUGUUGAGAUAAAGCUGUAAUUCACUCUGAAGAGGAAAUGCAUGGGGUGGCGGGGGGGCUACACUCCUUGGAAAAUUUAAUGCCGCUGUUUGCCUGGAAGCUGCAGUUUUCUUUAGAUCUGGCACAAAUUUUCGCACUAAACAAAUAAAGUUUGGUAUUUGGUACAGAAUAGACGUAAUUCCCUUGCGUGCACCUCAGCAUCAAUCUACCAUCCCCUCUUUAACGGUGUCUUCAACAGUUCUGAAUAUGUAGAGUUUACUUGCCUGAAUUUGUCACAGUGUUGGGGAAAAUAGCUAUAGAUUUUUUUUGUCUGUUUUUGUAUUAAUCUUUGCUUCAAGCCUUUGCUUUGACCGGCCUCUGUCUGACACGCCUAUACGUCAUGUGAAGACAGUAUGUGAAUGUGUGUGAUGGAGCCAUUUAUAGUCAUUUAUUGAUUGUGAGAUUGUUGCCUGUGGUGGGUCAGACUGUGGACAACAGUGCCUUUUUGUUUAAUGCCGAUUUGGACUGAAGGUUUAAGGACUUGAUAUAAUUGUUCUUGUAAUUUUUGGAGUUUCAGUGAAAAGCACAAAGUGAUUAUUUGGCUGAAUGGGUAAUUCUGUUUCAGAGAAGGAACCCUUUUGGCAUGCAGGAGACCCGAUGCCCUACAUGUCAUACCUGACAUCACUAAAACAUUUUUCAUACCCCACCUGUACCUGUAUAUUCAGCAAUUUUGGUAAAUGCGAAAUAACUUGGAAUGGCGGGCAGCUGCAGAUAGAGCAAAGGUGCGUGAAAUAUUCUUAUGUGACCAAAAUUUCUGAAGUACUAAGUGCACAUUCCUUCUGGGGAGAACAUCUGGAACCUGCAGCAGAUUGGGAACCGGGGAUCUAAUUAAAAACAAACCUUGUUUUAAGGUUGUGGCACCAGCCACGUGCAGAAUUAAACACAUACAUCAAUCUGGAAACCCUCAUUCCAUACUUUUAUCCUUCUUGCAUAAUAUAUCCAGCUAUGACAUCUUUAUAUACUGUAGGUUUCCUUCUGUUCCUCUCUAUCUUCACUAGCAUUUUGCCUCUAGGGUGUAAAACUCAACUCUUGGUGCUCCAUGUAUCUAUACCUACUUGUAGCUGUAAUGUUAUUAAUAACUAAUAAUCAGUUACAUUUGUAUAAAGAUCUAGCUUUAUUUGCAUGCUCUGUUGAUUUGCAGUUUCGGGUUGAAAUUUUAAAAACGUGAUCAUCAGCUAUAAUAUGAUUUCAGGUCAUCCUUAUUCUUGUAGGUGUUACGGACAGGUAUGGUGAAGGAAGAGACUCCAACAAACAGGGGAGAUUAAAUUAUAAAAAAAAUACCAGAAGGAAAAGGACCACGAUGGGUCAGAAUAAAGCAGGUAAAUCACAAAUACUAAGGAAGGGAGCAACACAGGAACAACCAUCGCAAAUAAGCAACAAACACAGGGCAAGAACAGCUACAAACACACAAUGACCGACUGAGAAACAAGCACAAGGGCAGGCACAUAUAAACACAGAUAGCGAGGGUAAGACAAGGAACAGGUGUGGGCCAAUUACAAUCAACCACACACAUUAGGGCUGGGAACAACAAGACACAGGUGAGGGUCAUAAUCACAGAGGACACAAACACUAGGAAAGGGCUGACCAGCGACACCUGCUGGCCAGGCAGGGAAUAAUACUGACAAUGGGUGCUAUAUUCCCUUGGGAACAGGCUCAAAGUUUAACUUCACUUGUCAUGUGUAGACAGUGGUGAUUUAUCGUAUGAGUUAAAUGUCCUGCUAUGAUAUGAUACACAGCACAGAAGCUUCCUUAAGUGUGUUAUUCAUAUCCUUUAUUAUUAGAAAAUAUUAGCAAAAAAGGCUUGAUUUAAAGCAAAACAUCGUAUCGUAAAUGUAUCAAGAAAUUGCAUCUGCUGUAUCACUCGAAGAUGUUAGGAUGCUGGUCAAGUAGGAGUCAAGCCUAAUUUUUGACAGAAAGUGGAAACAGGAGUAGCUGGCAGACCCACUGUGCUGAAUUAUGGGUAUCCUAGUGUACUUCAAUUGCGCAUUGACCUCGCUGGUGUUGAAGCAUCUAAUACGGUUUCCAUUUGCAUCUUCCUGUGCUGUUUUGUAAUCCAACAGCAUUUUCAAUUUUCAACCGGCUCACGGGUUUUGAAAUAUGCAUUUGGAAAUUCAAUACCAAGUGCUGUUUCGUUCUGAUAAUCCAUGGGAAGCAAAACACUGAAAAUGGUCUUGCACCACCAUCCUGAAAUGGCCUUAAGGGUAAUAAUGUAGGGGUGGUACGUCGGAUAAGCCACAACACAGUCUCAAUAAAAAAAGAAUGAAUGAAAAUGAAUAAGUAAAAAAAAAAAAAACUCUGAGUCAUCAAUUUUACAGGUGUGCUUUUAAA